AAAGAACACUCAAAUGUGUUUAAGAAAUUUUAAGUCACUUCCUUCUUAUGUAAAAGUUUAUAAGAAGUCUUGGUGCUUAAGAUAGGCGAGGGUGUUCAAUUACUCAAAUAGGUUGCAGUGAGAAUGCAUUCAUUCUAAAAAGUUAUUGGAAUCCGAUACUGAAAAUAAAGAUGAUGUGAGCAUGGACGGCAUAAGCCAUCCCAAACACAAUCCAAGCCAAGGAGAGAAAGAGAGGGAGGACCGAGAAGGACAAAAAGGCUGCACGGACGGCCAAGGAAGCUUAAUGGGUGG
This 291-nucleotide long non-coding RNA is filed under the name Carica papaya (papaya). RNAcentral's name for it is "long non-coding RNA (CPAP_LNC004387)". The record is from RNAcentral. Lineage: Eukaryota; Viridiplantae; Streptophyta; Magnoliopsida; Brassicales; Caricaceae.